Molecule: non-coding RNA, 500 nt
Organism: Oryctolagus cuniculus (rabbit)
Lineage: Eukaryota; Metazoa; Chordata; Mammalia; Lagomorpha; Leporidae
Source: RefSeq, a predicted model, not a curated record
AAAAAGAGGAGACCAGAAUCUGAAUGCAGCUGUGGGAGCUCCUCACCCCUGCGCAAGAAGAAGAAGAGUGUGAAGAAGCACCGCCGAGACAGGUCUAACUCUGGGUCCAGGAGGAAGAGGCGGCACAGAUCUCGAAGCCCCAAGAGCAAAAGAAAGGAAAAGAACAAAGAGAGGAAGAGGCCUCACACGGAGUCCCCAGGCCGGAGGUGCCAUCGCCAUAGCAGUGGCAGUUCCCACAGCCCCUCUCUGUCCUCCCAGUACAGCGGCUCCAGGUCACCCAGCAGGUAGGCCCGGCUUCAGCACGUGACUCACAUGAGCUGGGGGCAGGGUCGGGGACACCUGCAGAUGAACCAGCGCAGGAGGGGUGGGCUGGUGUCCACCUGCAGAGAGAGCAGCCCUGAGGCGCCCCAGACCUUGACCUGGAGAUCAGUCUGGGGCCGGACAGCUGGGCUUGCUCUCUCUGUAAGUGGGCGAUGGUCCAGGUUCGGUGACACGACGGG